Long non-coding RNA from Rhincodon typus (whale shark), 557 nucleotides. RefSeq lists it as uncharacterized. The record is from RefSeq and is a predicted model, not a curated record. NCBI's taxonomy places the organism in Eukaryota, Metazoa, Chordata, Chondrichthyes, Orectolobiformes, Rhincodontidae. The transcript is spliced from 3 exons.
AUUCUCAUCUGACUGCAGUUUUGCCAGGGUUCCUUUUUGGUACAUUUUGUUUUAAAUGUUGCCUUGAUGUCAAGGGCAGACCCUUUUCUACGCUUUAUCAAAAGCAAGAAAUACAUGUCCGAGUAAUGAAUUCACUGAUUGGAACAGUGACCUAAAUGAGUGUAGAGAGAAGGGACAUCUCAUGAACAAAUGCAACAAUGAAUGUCAGACAAUAAACUAAGAUGAGUGUCAACUGGAGCAACUGUGGAAAUGGAUCUGAAACCCAGGACUGUCAAAAGAUUUAAUGUGCAAAAUAACUUUUUAUCCAAUAUUACAAGUUCAGAAAAUGUAAAUAAUAUUCUCUUAUCCUUAAUGAGAUUAAAACUGCUUGACAAGAAACUAGUUUAUUGCACUGAAUCACUUUUUAUCAAUUUUUUGUUCUGUUCCCUCCAAGUUAUGAAUUUAUUGUUGGGCUAGUAUGAGGGUGCUGAUGCAAGAAGUUGUUAUCCACAUGUGGAUAAUGCUCCUGUAAAGUGGUUUGGAAUAACUUAUUACAUUAAAGGGUUAUAUAAAUAGAA